GAUGAAGAACGUAGCGAAACGCGAAAGGUAAUGCGAAUUGCAGAAUCAGUGAGUCAUCGAAUCUUUGAACGCACAUUGCGCCUCUAGGUAUUCCUGGAGGCACGCCUGUUCGAGCGCCAUUACACACUCCAAGCUCUGCUUGAUGUUGGACGACCCGAGAGAUCGGACGUCUGGAACGUGUGGGCGUCGGGCGUCGGACCACGAGCGUAGCAAGACCAUCAAACAGUCAAGUCGUUCUGUGGAGCCGGCGGUCGACCGCCUCUUUUUACAACUUUAACCACAAGUUUGGACUCGGAUCAGGCGGGGAUACCCGCUGAACUUAAGCAUAUCAAUAAGCGGAGGA
RNAcentral lists this unclassified non-coding RNA (343 nucleotides) under soil metagenome. RNAcentral describes it as "partial contains 5.8S ribosomal RNA, internal transcribed spacer 2, and large subunit ribosomal RNA". The stretch from base 1 to 119 matches the Rfam family "5.8S ribosomal RNA", at positions 35 to 154 of the family's 154-position model. The record is from RNAcentral.